GGAGUAGACCAGAUGAUCGCUGGCCCGGACUUCCGGGCGGGAGGAAAGUCCGAGCUCCACAGGGCAGGAUGGUCGCUAACGGCGACUGGGGGUGACCCUAAGGAAAGUGCCACAGAAAAUAUACCGCCUGCCAAUGGCAGGUAAGGGUGAAAUGGCGAGGUAAGAGCUCACCAGUUUCCCGGGUGACCGGGAAAGCUUGGUAAACCCCAUCCGGAGCAAGACCAAAUAGGAGAACACUAAGAGCGGCCCGCUCGACGUUCUCGGGUAGUGUCGCUUGAGGCAACAGGCAACUGUUGUCCCAGAUGAAUGAUCAUCACCGCUUUUCGGGUGACUGGAAGGCGGUACAGAACUCGGCUUAUGGUCUGGUCCGACA
RNAcentral lists this RNase P RNA (373 nucleotides) under Syntrophaceae bacterium. Its description in RNAcentral is "RNase P RNA component class A". It matches the Rfam family "Bacterial RNase P class A". Rfam says of the family: Ribonuclease P (RNase P) is a ubiquitous endoribonuclease, found in archaea, bacteria and eukarya as well as chloroplasts and mitochondria. Its best characterised activity is the generation of mature 5'-ends of tRNAs by cleaving the 5'-leader elements of precursor-tRNAs. Lineage: Bacteria; Pseudomonadati; Thermodesulfobacteriota; Syntrophia; Syntrophales; Syntrophaceae. The record is from RNAcentral.